CCUACGGGAGGCAGCAGUGGGGAAUUUUGGACAAUGGGCGCAAGCCUGAUCCAGCUAUUCCGCGUGUGGGAAGACGGCCUUCGGGUUGUAAACCACUUUUGUAGAGAACGAAAAGUCUGUUGAUAAUACCGAUAGAUGAUGACGGUACUCUCAGAAUAAGCACCGGCUAACUACGUGCCAGCAGCCGCGGUAAUACGUAGGGUGCGAGCGUUAAUCGGAAUUACUGGGCGUAAAGGGUGUGCAGGCGGUUUUGCAAGAUGGAUGUGAAAGCCCCGGGCUUAACCUGGGAAAGCCAUACAUGACUGCAAGACUAGAGUGCGGCAGAGGGGGGUGGAAUUCCAAGUGUAGCAGUGAAAUGCGUAGAUAUUGGGAAGAACACCGAUGGCGAAGGCAGCCCCCUGGGACGCAACUGACGCUCAUACACGAAAGCGUGGGGAGCAAACAGGAUUAGAUACCCCUGUAGUC
Molecule: ribosomal RNA, 465 nt
Filed under: uncultured bacterium
Lineage: Bacteria
Description: partial 16S ribosomal RNA
Rfam family: Bacterial small subunit ribosomal RNA
Source: RNAcentral